AGAUUAAUCUGUCUGCUGCAUUGUUGGUGAUAAAAGGUCAGAUGAAGAAGGCUGCUGCUCAGCCAGGCGAUUCCUCUCCUACACAUCAGUUCAAAUCAGAAGAAGUUCAGGACUCAUGCUCAGGGUGAUGAUGAUAAGGUGCCCGAUGGAGUCCGUACGGCGACCACCGGCCCUCCGUGCUCUUGUCUUUGUGCAGCUACUGUAAGGUUUGUCACUCGUCCUGCAGCUGGAGUUGUGAACUUUGCGAUGCGACAAACAACAUGGCAGGAUGCAGAGCACUGAGGACUAUAACGAGGGAUCGGACAGAUGGACCAAGACACGAACAAUGAAGGUAAACAAUAACUCACUUGUUGGUGCUGAGAGGCUGAAAUUCAGUCUGCUGUAACAGAACAAACCCUUGUAACCUCCCUGCAGCACACAUUUCCAGUCUCUGCAGCCAUGUUCUGGUGAGACAGCAGAUAGAAACGUCACAGACUGGUGCGACCACAGAGUGACAUACAGUGAAGUCACCACAGCAGCAUUUCUAAUGCAUAUAAGGUGGCAUCAGAUUUCAAGAUUCAAGAGAUUUUUUUUAUUUGUCACAUUUAUAUAGUAACAAAAAAAAAAGCAAAUCCACAAGA
This is a long non-coding RNA of Amphiprion ocellaris (clown anemonefish), 620 nucleotides long. RefSeq lists it as uncharacterized. The record is from RefSeq and is a predicted model, not a curated record. NCBI's taxonomy places the organism in Eukaryota, Metazoa, Chordata, Actinopteri, Pomacentridae. The transcript has 4 exons.